RNAcentral lists this long non-coding RNA (644 nucleotides) under Cicer arietinum (chickpea). Its description in RNAcentral is "long non-coding RNA (CARI_LNC001985)". The record is from RNAcentral. Lineage: Eukaryota; Viridiplantae; Streptophyta; Magnoliopsida; Fabales; Fabaceae.
ACAAUUUAGCCAUCAUUCUAAACAGGCAGCCAACAAUUUAGCAAAUCAUUCUAAAAUCAGCAAUUUAGCAAUUUAACAAUUUAGCCAUCUUUCUAAACAGGCAGUCAAUAAUUUAGCAAGUCGUUCUAAAAUCAGCAAUUUAACAAUUUAACAAUUUAGUCAUCAUUCCAAACAGGCAACCAACAAUUUAGCAAAUCAACAGUACAAACACCUUGUAUGCAACAAAAAUCAGCAAAUCAACACAAACAUCUUGUUCAAAUACCUUGUUCAACAAAUUAGGAAAAUCAACAAAUUCCAAACCUUUGGAGUUUUGACGACGAAUGGCCGAGCGAGGCGAGACGAGGCCGAGGCAAGGGUGGAAUCGUGAAUCGCGUUAAAAAAGACAGCAAGAUGGUGGAUUCGUGAAUCGCGUUCAGAAAGCAAGAGGGAGAGAGAGAUGAAGUCUGGAUCUUGAAGAGAGGAAGAGAGAUUUGUUUAAGGAAGAGAGACUGAACCUAUAAUUUUUUUUUAGGUGGUCGCGGCCACCGCCCGUCCCUACCAAGCUUCGCCAUUGUGUAAGCAUUGUUUCGAGUCAUUUGUGUCGAUAAGGCCCUUAGGCCAUUCUUUUCCAUAAUUUCAACUUGUAUGUGCUUGUAAUAUCAUUA